Molecule: long non-coding RNA, 2001 nt
Organism: Lagopus leucura (white-tailed ptarmigan)
Lineage: Eukaryota; Metazoa; Chordata; Aves; Galliformes; Phasianidae
Exons: 3
Source: RefSeq, a predicted model, not a curated record
UCUGGCUGACUGUUGUGCCCCACACCAGACUCCAGAAUGUCAGUGUCACUGGAUUACACCAUUCUGCUGGGGAAGUCUGUUCAAGUUUCUGUUCAGAUCCUCAGGGAGAGAGCAUGGACUAGUGCUGUGGAUGUGAACUGGGCAAGAGUUAAAUGCUGCCAUGGAGCCGUUGUCUCACCUUUGAAAAUGCAGUGGGAGAUACGUACCUCUGCUCUUGUGAAGAAUCCUGUUUUCUUGCUGGCAGCACAGCCUGCUCCAAUUAGGAAAACAAGAUCUGAAACAAGGCCUGGAGUUGGUCUGUCCCCUGCUGUGGCAGUGGUACUGUUGCUGCUUUUGUGAUGAAUUCCUGUAUACAAGACCCAGGCAGUGCAGAGCUGGGAGUAGCAGUUGAUUCACUGGAGGGACCGUGCUGCCAUUCAGAAAGACCUUGACAAGUGGAGAAAUGAGCCUACAGGAACAUCCUGCAGCUCAACAGAAAGAAAUGCCAAAUCCUGAUCCUGGGGAGAAAGAAACCCAGGCACUACUACAGGAUGGGGAACCCCCAGCGGGAAGACAGCUGGAAGAGGAAAGACCUUGGGAUUUUGGUGGACACCUAGUUGAACAGGAGCCAGCAGUGUGCCUUUGUGGCACAUCUUCAGCAUUAGAGGAAUUGUUGCCAGCAGGUGGGAGGAGAUGAUCCUCUUUCCACGCAGCUCUGGUGAGAUGCAGCUGGGCUUCCAGUACAGGAGGGACGUGGACACACUGAAAUGUACCAAAUGAAGGAUCAAGAGGAGCAUGAAGAGAUUGGGUCACAUUUAACUUAAGAGAAGAGGCUGAGAGAGCUGGAGUUAUUCAGUAUGGAGUAGGGAAAGCUGGGGUUGGAGGAGGACUUAUCAAUGGGCGCAAAAUAAAACACAGGAAAUUCCAUUUCGAAAUAGAAAAUCCUUUACUGUAGAGUGGACUAACACUGGAAUAGGUUGUUCAGAGAAACUGUGGAGUCUCUACUCUUGGAAAUGCUAAAAACCCUAACAGAUAUGAUUCUGAGCAAUUCUGCUCUGAGCAGUUUGGACUAGACAAUCUGCAGAGCACCCUUCUGACCUCAGUUGUUCUGUGAUUUUUAUUCCCAGUUCUUAACACCAAAUAGAUUACUCAGCUGCCAAUGACCUGGUAAAGAACUAAACUGAUUCUCUUUAGAGUGAAGGUCUACUGGGCUGGCGUGGAUUAGGCGAGCCAGACAGGGCUGUCAACUGGAUAAACUGUCUUCUUCCUUUUCUUCCAAGUUCCUCCCUUUGGCAAACGUGAUGUAAUGCAAAGCCAGGACCAGAGUUUAUGAUCUUUAGGUCUAGGAACUGCUUUUGUUAUAUAAAUAACAAAUUGAAAAGUGAGGCUGUAGCAAGAUCUUCUCAAUAUAUCAGGUCAGAACCUCUUCAGUUAUCAAGCCAUCUCCUGUUCUCCGGCUUUGGCUGGAGUGAAUGCAGAAGACAGUUUUUUACGGUUCAUGCCACAAGGUGUAGGGAACUGGCUGCAGAUAUCAGCUUAAGCUAUUUUAUGGAAGAAGAAAGCGGUCUGGGAUGAAAAGCAAGGCUAGUAUUAUGAAUAUGUGCUAUAGCUUGUACUGUUGGUCUAAUAGAAAUUCUGCUUGUUUCUCCAAAGCCUGUUAGAACUUAGAAGAUGGGAUUUCAAGGUGUUACUCUAUUAGUGAUAGAGGAUGGAACUGAAAUCCUCUCACUUUUUUCAUGACACCGUGGGAAAUAAUUUCAAGUUAUGAUCAGGGUUCUGAGGAAGAAGGCAAGAAGGUCUCAAAGGUCAGGCUGUGAUCAUUAAAAGUCUAGGAGGUCUCCCAUGGGUACUGGCAAGCUAAGGGCUCUGCAAAACUAAGAUCUCAACUAAGUUUGGGCUGCUUGGGGAUAAACUAAUUCCUUAGAAAAUGGAGUGGAAUGGUCACCAUCCAGCCUUGAAAGGAUGAGUCAAUGCAAAGCCUUGGAAGACUUUGCACUAAACUAGCCUUGAAUGACGUGGAGG